NGCGGAGAGGAUGAUGGGAGCUUCCGGUCGCGAAUCCGAUGUAGUUUGAUGCUAAGAAAGGUAAGAGAAAGAGAGAUAGAAGUAGAGGUAGACUGAGAGAGAGAGAGUUGAGUAGAGAGUAGAGAAUUGGAAAUAGAGGAGAAUGGGGAAGAGAAGUAGUGGAGAAGAAGAAGGGUUUGGAGAAGAACUUUUGGGGGAGAAAAUAGACUAAUUCAUUU
RNAcentral lists this long non-coding RNA (218 nucleotides) under Ananas comosus (pineapple). RNAcentral's name for it is "long non-coding RNA (ACOM_LNC034671)". Lineage: Eukaryota; Viridiplantae; Streptophyta; Magnoliopsida; Poales; Bromeliaceae. The record is from RNAcentral.